AUGCAAGUCGAACGGUAACAGGAAGAAGCUUGCUUCUUUGCUGACGAGUGGCGGACGGGUGAGUAAUGUCUGGGAAACUGCCUGAUGGAGGGGGAUAACUACUGGAAACGGUAGCUAAUACCGCAUAACGUCGCAAAACCAAAGAGGGGGACCUUCGGGCCUCUUGCCAUCGGAUGUGCCCAGAUGGGAUUAGCUAGUAGGUGGGGUAACGGCUCACCUAGGCGACGAUCCCUAGCUGGUCUGAGAGGAUGACCAGCCACACUGGAACUGAGACACGGUCCAGACUCCUACGGGAGGCAGCAGUGGGGAAUAUUGCACAAUGGGCGCAAGCCUGAUGCAGCCAUGCCGCGUGUACGAAGAAGACCUUCGGGUUGUAAAGUACUUUCAGCGGGGAGGAAGGGAGUAAAGUUAAUACCUUUGCUCAUUGACGUUACCCGCAGAAGAAGCACCGGCUAACUCCGUGCCAGCAGCCGCGGUAAUACGGAGGGUGCAAGCGUUAAUCGGAAUUACUGGGCGUAAAGCGCACGCAGGCGGUUUGUUAAGUCAGAUGUGAAAUCCCCGGGCUCAACCUGGGAACUGCAUCUGAUACUGGCAAGCUUGAGUC
RNAcentral lists this ribosomal RNA (604 nucleotides) under uncultured Gammaproteobacteria bacterium. RNAcentral describes it as "bacterial SSU rRNA". It matches the Rfam family "Bacterial small subunit ribosomal RNA", at positions 55 to 648 of the family's 1533-position model. Lineage: Bacteria; Pseudomonadati; Pseudomonadota; Gammaproteobacteria. The record is from RNAcentral.